AUAUCGGAAUGUCUGAAUCCGAAGCUCCCACCGAUAGAAUGAGAAGUGAAAUCGAAGUUUCCCGGGCUUCUGUGACGGAGGUUUUCUUAGUCGACCUAAUCAAUCGAUUCCCCUCGGCAUAGUUGAAAUUCAAGUCUUAGUUCUUCCCACUUGGAUGAGCGGUGAAUACCUUUCUAAAGUAAAGAUUUGGCUCGGAUGGAUCCGGAUAGGAUAUUUUCACGCCUUGGCGUCUGGUUAAGACUUCCCCCCCGUCCUUCUCCUUAGGCUGGUUGAACCUUGAGAUAGAAGAGCAAUAUGGAGGGUUUCUCCUGAAAAAAAGUUGAAACCAUUCGUUUCAUAUAUACUUUCU
RNAcentral lists this long non-coding RNA (349 nucleotides) under Gossypium barbadense (sea-island cotton). RNAcentral describes it as "long non-coding RNA (GBAR_LNC021906)". Lineage: Eukaryota; Viridiplantae; Streptophyta; Magnoliopsida; Malvales; Malvaceae. The record is from RNAcentral.